Molecule: long non-coding RNA, 623 nt
Filed under: Fukomys damarensis (Damara mole-rat)
Lineage: Eukaryota; Metazoa; Chordata; Mammalia; Rodentia; Bathyergidae
Description: lncRNA (ENSFDAG00000026533.1)
Source: RNAcentral
CCCAGCACUAGGGCAUGGAGGCUGGAGAACUGCUGGGAGUUCCCGGUCAGCCUGGGAUACAGGACAGACCCUGUCUCUCACGACCAAAAAAGAGCUGCGGAUAAAAGGGACAAAGUCCCACCUUCCUAUCCUUUGAUAAGGGCACUAAUCCCAGCCAUGAGGGGUAGCACCCUCAUGAACUAAUUACCUCCCAAAGCCCCACUUCUUAAUACCAUCCUCUUGGGGACCAAGUCCCAAAGUGAAUUUAGCAAGGACCCCAACACUCAGGGCAAAGCAAGGAGUAGGAGACGGCAGGCCCCGCCCCGGGUUCUCCGGACGCGGAAAGGACUGCAAAGUGACCCUGCGCAUCCCUGCAGCCCAGCACGGCGGGGACACAGUCCGGGGCACAUUUCACUUAAUGACUUACUAAGGGAUCGAAUUUGCACGUUCUAGGCAGGUUGGCGGAACCACUGAGCUAAUUCCCCGGCCCUGGAUCUCAUUUUAAAUAAACACUAUUUUAAACAUUAUCUCUGUAUGGUUGUCACAUGGUGGUGAGGAUGGUUUUUACACCCUUGUUUCAGCGGUGCCUAUGGAAACACCCCCCUCCGGGGAUGGUCUGGUCUACAGUUUGCUCUGCGUCCCCC